This 469-nucleotide ribosomal RNA is filed under the name uncultured bacterium. RNAcentral describes it as "partial 16S ribosomal RNA". It matches the Rfam family "Bacterial small subunit ribosomal RNA", at positions 28 to 507 of the family's 1533-position model. The record is from RNAcentral.
GACGAACGCUGGCGGCGUGCUUAACACAUGCAAGUCGAACAGAAAGGCCCUGCUUGCCGGGUGCUCGAGUGGCGAACGGGUGAGUAACACGUGGGUGAUCUGCCCCUUACUUUGGGAUAAGCCUGGGAAACUGGGUCUAAUACUGGAUAGGACCAUGCUGUAGGUGGUGUGGUGGAAAGAUUAGUUUCGGUAAGGGAUGAGCUCGCGGCCUAUCAGCUUGUUGGUGGGGUAAUGGCCUACCAAGGCGUCGACGGGUAGCCGGCCUGAGAGGGUGGACGGCCACAUUGGGACUGAGAUACGGCCCAGAAUCCUACGGGAGGCAGCAGUGGGGAAUAUUGCACAAUGGGCGCAAGCCUGAUGCAGCGACGCCGCGUGGGGGAUGACGGCCUUCGGGUUGUAAACUCCUUUCAGCCAUGACGAAGCCCUUGUGGUGACGGUAGUGGUAGAAGAAGCACCGGCUAACUACGUG